UACGUAGGUGGCAAGCGUUGUCCGGAUUUACUGGGCGUAAAGAGCGCGCAGGCGGUCGUUCAAGUCGCGUGUGAAAGCCCCCGGCUCAACUGGGGAGGGUCACGCGAUACUGAUCGACUCGAAGGCAGGAGAGGGAAGUGGAAUUCCCGGUGUAGUGGUGAAAUGCGUAGAGAUCGGGAGGAACACCUGUGGCGAAGGCGGCCGACUGGGCCGACCCUGACGCUGAGGCGCGAAGGCG
RNAcentral lists this ribosomal RNA (238 nucleotides) under uncultured bacterium. RNAcentral describes it as "partial 16S ribosomal RNA". It matches the Rfam family "Bacterial small subunit ribosomal RNA", at positions 524 to 761 of the family's 1533-position model. The record is from RNAcentral.